This is a long non-coding RNA of Pyrus x bretschneideri (Chinese white pear), 1884 nucleotides long. RefSeq lists it as uncharacterized. The record is from RefSeq and is a predicted model, not a curated record. Lineage: Eukaryota; Viridiplantae; Streptophyta; Magnoliopsida; Rosales; Rosaceae. The transcript is spliced from 2 exons.
AUGUCUCAAACAUUUGUUUCUUCAGAAUGUUCUUCAAUACUACGUAAUAUUGAAUCAUACAAGAACAAAUGGCUGUUUGGGAGAAGGCCAUUCUCUUUGUAUUUUUCAGGUGCUCUUCUUUUUUAAUUUCAUGUUUGUUUGGAAGUUUCUUUGUGUUCAAUUGGUUUGUUUAACUGGAUUUUCAGUCUUCUGUUUUUGUUUGGUGUUUUAAUUUGUUGUUCUUAACUUCUUGUUGUAACAUGGCAGAAGCUCUGUUGGACAUUUUUUGCUUGGCGGUGUGUUUGUGUUCUAGAUUUGGGGUUUCCCUUUUGUACACCUAGUUUAUAUGCUUUAUAAGUUCUUCCCAAAUUUUUGUGAUUGCAGUUCUCCGCUAUGCAUCUCAUUUUGUUCUUCUUUAAAACUCUUCUUUACUUGUCAUUUGUUGAUAAUAACUAACUUAAACAGAGGGGAAAAAAUGCUGAGAACUAUUGAAAAGUGCCCAAGAAUGUGUUCAUUUCCUUUUUUCGUUGAUCGUUUUGUUGCUACCCUCUUGUUUUUUUAUUAGAUUAGUCUCAUGCUGCUACUGAGAAGAAAAAUGCUGAGAACUCUAGGCUGCAAUGCAACAUUUAUCGAUUUAAUCUUGGUUUACAUGCUUUCUGUUGUGUUGUGGGUUCUCUUAACAUUUGCUGUAUAUACUAAUUCGAUUAGUCUCUCUUGUUCUGGACAGUUGCGUUGCAGCCUGAUCUAAGCUGAGCCCUUUGUUUUCUCUCAAAUGAACUGUAUUUCGAAAGCUAGUGUUGCUUUUGUAGUCAAUUCCUGCUUAAGUCCUUAUCUUUGCUGCAUUGCAUGAACUUAUAACGCUGUUGCGUAGCACAGGCUGCAUUAGACAGUCCAUUUAAUUUCGUGUGUUGAUUUGCCGGUUGCUUGUGUUCCAGGCUGGUAUUUUCCCUUUUAUCUCUUCUUUUUCUUCUUAAAGAUUCUUCCAAACCUUACCAAUUGAGUUUGACUUUGCAGAAAAUGUUGAGAAUAACACCGAAGAAUUGAGGAGAAGAAGCCUUCAUUCUACAAGAUUGUUUUUUAUUGUUACAACACCGAAGAAUUGCGUAUCCCACCAAACGUCGGGAAACAUAUGCUGAACAAUCGGUGGUGUGUAUUUCAAGGAUGGCUGGCCGGAGUUCUUAAAAGAUAACUCUUUGGGUAACGGAGAGAAUUUGGUAUUCAGCUAUGAUGGAAGAAUGCAUUUCAGCAUAACGGGUUUUUAAGAAGAAUGCAUGUAAGCGAGUCAAUCAUACCAACAUUGGAUCAAAUCAAAAUCCCGCCUAUGCUAGCACUUCUAAAAGACCUCGUGGUAGACCAAGAAAGUACACUCCCGUGAGUUCUAAGCAUCCCCUCCGAUCAAGUUCUUCCAGCGAUAGGUGGUCAGAUGUCGUGAUAUACAUGUCUACUGGAUUUCAUGUAACUCAUUGCUCUGUUUUAUUUUGGAUGUGAAACUCUAGGUGAAAACCUUCCAAGUGCUGAGGGGAGUGAAUUCAAAAAGUUUACAGACGAGGAAGAAGAUUGCGGAGACAACGCAUUUGGGAAUUCAGAAGCUAGUUGCGAAGUAAUUUCAUCCAAGUCUUUAUCACUGCAUUCCUCCCAAUCAGUCCCCUUUCUUGUAAUGAAACUAACAUCAAAAUGCAACUAAGUGGAGUAUCUUAUAUUGGAUCACGUUGCUCGUGCAGUUCGCCCCCUUAGCCUUCUCUAGAGAAUAUUUUACUUAAGGCAUAUAUUUUAGGGUCACCCUGCAAAAUGCAGAGGGAAAGACAAGGACAGUGAAAGUUACUCCUUGCAACGAAUCACACUGCUUCACCGCAAGGUGGUGUAAAUUCGUAUAUGCUAACAAAAUCAAGACCAGCGAUACAUGUA